RNAcentral lists this ribosomal RNA (335 nucleotides) under uncultured bacterium. Its description in RNAcentral is "bacterial SSU rRNA". It matches the Rfam family "Bacterial small subunit ribosomal RNA", at positions 29 to 351 of the family's 1533-position model. The record is from RNAcentral.
AACGAACGCUGGCGGCGUGCUUAAUACAUGCAAGUCGUACGAGAAAGUCUGGCUUCGGCCGGGCAAGUAAAGUGGCGAACGGGUGAGUAACACGUGGGUAAUCUGCCUUUGAGUUUGGGAUAAGCCUCCGAAAGGGGGUCUAAUACCGAAUGAUAUCUUUGGAUGGCAUCUUUCAAAGAUCAAAGAAGGGGCAACCUUUCGCUCAUAGAUGAGCCCGCGCACCAUUAGCUUGUUGGUAGGGUAACGGCCUACCAAGGCUGCGAUGGUUAGCCGGCCUGAGAGGGUGAUCGGCCACACUGGGACUGAGAUACGGCCCAGACUCCUACGGGAGGCAG